This 708-nucleotide ribosomal RNA is filed under the name uncultured eukaryote. RNAcentral's name for it is "SSU rRNA". It matches the Rfam family "Eukaryotic small subunit ribosomal RNA", at positions 607 to 1320 of the family's 1831-position model. The record is from RNAcentral.
AUGUUGUUGCAGUUAAAAAGCUCGUAGUUGGAUUUCUGGUGGGAGUGGCCGGUCCGCCGUAAGGUGUGUACUUGGUUGUCUCCCGUCAUCCUUGUGGGAACUGCUCUGGCAUUAAGUUGUCGGGGUUAGGGAACACAUCGUUUACUGUGAAAAAAUUAGAGUGUUUAAAGCAGGCUUAUGCCGUUGAAUACAUUAGCAUGGAAUAAUAAGAUAGGACUUUGGCGUCUAUUUUGUUGGUUUGCACACCAAGGUAAUGAUUAAUAGGGAUAGUUGGGGGUAUUCGUAUUUAAUUGUCAGAGGUGAAAUUCUUGGAUUUAUGAAAGACGAACUUCUGCGAAAGCAUUUACCAAAGAUGUUUUCAUUAAUCAAGAACGAAAGUUAGGGGAUCGAAGAUGAUUAGAUACCAUCGUAGUCUUAACCAUAAACUAUGCCGACUAGGGAUUGGCGGUCGUUCAUUUAUGACUCCGUCAGCACCUUAUGAGAAAUCAAAGUCUUUGGGUUCCGGGGGGAGUAUGGUCGCAAGGCUGAAACUUAAAGGAAUUGACGGAAGGGCACCACCAGGAGUGGAGCCUGCGGCUUAAUUUGACUCAACACGGGGAAACUUACCAGGUCCAGACAUAGUAAGGAUUGACAGAUUGAGAGCUCUUUCUUGAUUCUAUGGGUGGUGGUGCAUGGCCGUUCUUAGUUGGUGGAGUGAUUUGUCUGGUU